GAAGAAGUACUUGAAAUAAGUUUUGCUAUGUCCACUGGAAGCAAGUCCCUGAGAAAACCAACCCAUCCCGUUAGCCUAGCAGAUGAAGCUUUCUGAAAUCUUAAUCAACCAUAAGGAGUGUGGACCUGGAGAACCGCUAGAUAUCCACCGAUGCUGCUCUCCUGCCUUUUGAAGUGUUUCAUGGUGCUCUGGAAAGGAUUAGAGCAAACCUUUGGUUUUAUUGGCUGCAGGUCGGCUUUUUGCAGCGCCAAGCUGUAGCCUGCACC
This 266-nucleotide long non-coding RNA is filed under the name Struthio camelus australis. Its description in RNAcentral is "lncRNA (ENSSCUG00000015416.1)". Lineage: Eukaryota; Metazoa; Chordata; Aves; Struthioniformes; Struthionidae. The record is from RNAcentral.